GGCUGCAACUCGCCUACAUGAAGCUGGAAUCGCUAGUAAUCGCAGAUCAGAAUGCUGCGGUGAAUACGUUCCCGGGUCUUGUACACACCGCCCGUCACACCAUGGGAGUCGGAAAUGCCCGAAGCCGGUGACCCAACCAAAAGGAGGGAGCCGUCGAAGGCAGGUCUGAUAACUGGGGUGAAGUCGUAACAAGGUAGC
This 198-nucleotide ribosomal RNA is filed under the name uncultured bacterium. RNAcentral's name for it is "partial 16S ribosomal RNA". It matches the Rfam family "Bacterial small subunit ribosomal RNA", at positions 1303 to 1500 of the family's 1533-position model. The record is from RNAcentral.